Molecule: long non-coding RNA, 1678 nt
Filed under: Pogona vitticeps (central bearded dragon)
Lineage: Eukaryota; Metazoa; Chordata; Lepidosauria; Squamata; Agamidae
Description: lncRNA (ENSPVIG00000010330.1)
Source: RNAcentral
UCACUUCCCCAGCAGGUCAUUCCUGCCAAAGACACCCCAGCCCAGAGCAAAUUUCACCCUUCCCUUCCAAGAAGUAUCUCCUGUGUUGGACCAAGCAAAAAGUGAGCUGAGAUGUUGGGGAAAACCGCAGCCAUGCCGAUGUCCACCCCACAGAGACCGAGGCAGGAUGCGUUCUACUAUCCAUCUGGGUGUCAAUCUGAGCGGACACUCUUCCACCCCACCCGGGUCAUCAAGUAUGUCUUUCUGGACGGGAGUCAGAACAUCGUCCCAUCAUUACACACUUCUUCUCCUGGCUUGGAGACCCCCGUUGGGUACCUGGAGUCGGCCAAGCGCUACUAUUGCCCUCUUGCCUGCCCGGACCAUGGCCUGGCCAGCGCUUACUGGCCUCCCGACCUGGAGCGCCUCCCCAUCUUCGUCACGCUCUCCAAGAGCCAGGAAAGAAGCAGCAGGAGCUGGGGGCGGCCCCCGCUUUCUCGGGACCGGCUGCCGGUUUUCCGGAAGUUAUGCAGAGAGGCUGCUCUCUGGGGGUCCCAGCGCCACGAGGACUCGGUGGGUCCCAAGACCGCCAAGGAUGACCCAGAGAAGACUGGGGAGAUGAAGGGACCUGGACUUGGGGGAAAACUGGAGGCCGAGAAAGAAAAGGAGCCGGACAGUUCUGUGUCCCAGCUGACACUCUAAGGGAAAGGGGAAUUCAGCUCUAAGGGGAUUUUUUUUCCAAACUCACAAUGAAAUCUGUGGUGCUGGGCAGCCUUUUGAAUUGCUUAUCCUUGCCUCACCGCCUCCAAAGAUCCAGAGACACGUGUGCUUCUCCUGGGAUUCUGGAUGGUUACACAGAUGUGGGCAGUAUCCUCACAAUCUACACAAAAAUGGUUGUGGGGUUUCUGCAAACAGAAAAAAGCCCUUGAAUGACAAAAACAUCUAAGGUUUAGGACGACGACCCUGGAGUUGAAGAUGAAGUGCUGUGGGUUUUCUUUGUAGACUAGAAUCGACGGACUAGAUUGAUCUAUAGGGUCCUUUCCGCUUCUACAUUUCUAUCGUUCAAGCAGAGCGGUUCCCAAGUUUGGGUCCCCAGAGGUUCUUGGACUAAAACUCCCAGAAGCCUUCACCGCUAGUUGUGCUGGUCAGGAUUUAUGGGAGUUGUAGUCCAAACGCAUCUGGGGACCCAUGAUGCUAGUCCCUCCACAGAACAUAGGGAGGUCGGCCAACCUACAGACCCUCCAUUGACAUGUCCCAUCUUGGCUCACUGGCAGUAUAUGCACACACACACACACACACAUACACACACACACACACACGAACACACAAACACACGAACACACAAACAUACACAUAAGGAGCAAUGACUCUCCUCUGAGCGGCUCCAUUAUGUAAAGCAAACUAAACCUCCGGGAACGUUUCCAGAUUGCUCGUUAGCUGAUUAACUGUGCUUGCUGUCUCCCUGCCCCCACAAGGACCUGAGGAGGAACGGUGGCUCGCGCCGCAACCCGAAGCGUUGGUCGGGUUGGGAAGCGCAAACUCUCAAGAUGGAGGGAGGCACGCUGGCUGGGGCCCAAGGCUGGUUCUGAUCAGCGGAGGGGGAAAAGGGAGGGAGAGAUAAUAAGGAAGAUGCUGAGAAAGAUAGAAAGCACCGACUGAGGCUCUUUAUGCAUUUCCUUUUGCUGAGAAGACAAGGCUCAAG